UCUGUGCUAAGGUAGCAUAAUCAUUAGUCUUUUAAUUGGGGACUGGUAUGAAUGGCUAAACGAGAAAUCAGCUUUUUUUAUUAUAUAAAUUUAAUUUAUUUUUUUAGUGAAAAAACUAAAAUUUUUCAAAAAGACGAGAAGACCCUAUAGAGUUUUAUGUGGUAAUAAAUUAAAUUAUACUAGAUUUAUAUUAAUAGAAUUUUGAUCCACAAUUUGUUGGGGCGACAUUAAGAAAUACCAAACUCUUUUUUCUAAAUACUUUUAUAAAAGUAAGAUUUGAUCCUUUAAAAAAGAUCAUAAGAAAAAAUUACCUUAGGGAUAACAGCGUAAUCUUUUUUGAGAGUUCUAAUCGACAAAAAGGUUUGCGACCUCGAUGUUGGACUAAAAUUUAGGCAUGGUGCAGUAGCUUUGCUUUAGGGUCUGUUCGACCCGUAAUAUUUUACACGAUCUGAGUUCAGACCGGCGUAAGCCAGGUUGGU
RNAcentral lists this ribosomal RNA (479 nucleotides) under Notochthamalus scabrosus. RNAcentral describes it as "partial 16S ribosomal RNA". It matches the Rfam family "Bacterial large subunit ribosomal RNA", at positions 1945 to 2635 of the family's 2925-position model. The record is from RNAcentral. Lineage: Eukaryota; Metazoa; Arthropoda; Thecostraca; Balanomorpha; Chthamalidae.